CGGCGCACGGGUGCGUAACACGUGGGCAAUCUGCCCUUCGAUGGGGAAUAACCCCGGGAAACCGGGGCUAAUUCCGCAUAACAUUCCGGAAACUAAGGUUUUUGGAUUCAAAGCCGUAAGGCGUCGAAGGAGGAGCCCGCGCACGAUUAGCUAGUUGGUGAGGUAACGGCCCACCAAGGCUAUGAUCGUUAGCUGGUCUGAGAGGAUGGCCAGCCACACUGGAACUGAGACACGGUCCAG
This 240-nucleotide ribosomal RNA is filed under the name uncultured bacterium. Its description in RNAcentral is "partial 16S ribosomal RNA". It matches the Rfam family "Bacterial small subunit ribosomal RNA", at positions 96 to 334 of the family's 1533-position model. The record is from RNAcentral.